This is a long non-coding RNA of Symphalangus syndactylus (siamang), 3597 nucleotides long. RefSeq lists it as uncharacterized. NCBI's taxonomy places the organism in Eukaryota, Metazoa, Chordata, Mammalia, Primates, Hylobatidae. The record is from RefSeq and is a predicted model, not a curated record.
GCUUCCCAACGCGGUUGCUCCCCCGGCGGAUGUGGAGAAUGGGGCCUUUCAGAGAAGGGGGAGGCGGGGAAGGGGCGAGGCGGGGCAGGCGCUGAGCUUGGGCCUUCUCGCCACCUGCCGCCGGAGCUCAGGUCCCUAAAACCUCGAAGGCGUCGCCGCUUCUCAGGUCCUCCUCGCAGGUUGAGAGACUGCAGGGCCCCGCCCGGCGCUUCUUGAGCAACUGGAGGUUCCGGGGUGAGCAACUGGAGGUUCCGGGUUUCAGGGUCAACUUGGAUGAAGCACAGCAUACGGUGUGACAUUUCUGAUGUGACUGCUCCUGGAUUCAGAGUGUGUGGCAGGAAGAUGACCACGGCCCCUCUGUUCCCUCGCCUGUGUGCCAAAUGGAUCCACAGCUAGAGACAAGCUCUUUCCCUUUGAACGGUGGGAAGCAGGCCAAGAUGUUUUAAAGACAGAUGGCAUCAGCUGCAGAGAAGCAAGCUGGAACUCAGAGCACAGCUGCCUUAUUUACUUACCUACUGGCUGCAUUUCUGAGAACCAGUUUUUUUCCUGUUCAAAGGAAGCCAGGCAGAGUUGGGAAAAUAUUUUCCUAGCCAGCUCCUUAGCACCACUGUCUGAGGGAAACCAUCUGGCCAAGAUGCCCUUCAAAGACAAGGUCUCGCUGUGUCACCCAGGCUGGAGUGCAGUGGUGUGAUCAUAGCUCACUGUGACCUCGAACUCCUGGGCUCAAGAGAUUCUCCCGCCUCAGCCUCCCAGGAGUUGAAGAUCUCACUAUGUUGCUCAGACUGGCCUUGAACUCCUGGGCUUAAGGGAUCCUCCUGUCUCAGCCUCCUAAGUAGCAGAGACUGCAGGCUCGAGCCACUGUACCCAGACUUCUUCUUGGCGUUACAUUUUGAAUUGUUUCUACUGGUGUAUCUUGAAGUUUACUAGUCUUUUCUUCCGGAGUGUCUAAGAUGCUGUUCAUCUCAGCCAGUAUUUUUUCAUCUGUAGAAUUUAAUUCGGUCUUCUUUUAUGUUCUCCAUAUCUCUCCUUAUCACGCUCAUACAUUCUUCUACCUUUGUGAACACAUGGAGUAUAUUAUCACUUUUUAAUAUUCUGCACCACUUAAUUCUAGCACCUGUAUCAUUUCUGUUUCAAUCAAUUUAUUUUUCUUCUUAUUCUGGGUCAUAUUUUCUUUUUGUUUUGCUUUGUUUUCAGACAGGGUCUUGCUCUGUCGCCCAGGUUGGAGUGCAGUGGCACGAUCUCGGCUCACUGAAACCUCCGUCUCCCGGGUUCAAGAGAUUCUCCCACCUCAGCGUUCCGAGUAGCUGGGACUACAGGUGCACACCGCCACUCCUGGCUAAUUUUUGUAUUUUUUUUUAUAGAGAUGGGGCUUUGCCAUGUUGCCCAGGCUUGUCUUGAAUUCCUGAGCUCAAGCAGUCCGCCCGCCUCGGACUCUUAAAGUGUUGGGAUUACAGGUGUAAGCCACCGCGCCCGGCCCUGGGUCGUAUUUUCCUGCCUCUUUGUAUGCCUGUUAAGGUUUGAUUGGAUGCCAGAUGUGGCUGGAAAGGCCACUCAUGAUUAGUUACUUCUACUAAUUCUCUGACUUCAUCUCCUAAUCCCCACCCCUCUCAGGACUCUGAUUUCUCCACCCCGAACUUCUUGCACACUUCCUCGUUCAUUUGCACGUGCUGUCCCCUUUCUCUGGAGCACUCUUCCCUAGGCGGUCCCCAUGGGUUUCUCCCUAACUUCAUUUGGGUCAAAUGUCACAUUACCAAAAGCAUUCUAUCACCUUUCCUUGCUUUAUUUACCUUUAAACAUCCAGCCAUGUUACUUACUGAUUGUCUAUUUUUACCUCACCACCUACCUCUGCUAAAAUGUACCAUGACAGCAUCACCAAGAACUACUGCCAUCAGCUAUAUAAUGAAAUUAUUUUUAAGCAGCAACAACAGCAGCAGAGAAGAGGGACCAACAGGGCAAUGCAUCAGAGGGGUCCAGACUGGUAAGCACUGAAAAGUAUCUAUUGAAUCGGACAAUUAGGAGGACUAACCUCCUCAAGAGUAAGUUCCUGCAGUUUGCUGGAUAAAGGGCAUCAGAGCGCCGUGGGCUGGGCUGAGGACAUCCUCUCCCUUACAGCCUCCUGGUUCUUCUCUCAGAAAAACUUCUCCUCCUUCCCAGCUCAAUCCUAUUUACUUAUUUUAAAAUUUAUUGUGUAUAUUUAAAGUAUACAACAUGCUGUUAUAGGAUACACAUAGAUAGUAAAAUAUUUACUAUAGCAAAGCAAAUGAACAUCUCUGUCAUCUCCCCACAUAGUUACUCAUUUUUGUUGCUUUUGUGGCAAGAGCAGCUACAAUCUAGUCAUUUAGCAGGAAUCCCAAGUACAGUGCGAUUUUAUGACCUACAGCCAUCAUGGUGUACAUUAGAUCUCUCCACACACCUGUUACCUUGUAUCCUCUGACCUACAUCUUCCCAUUUCUUCCUCCCAUUCCUCCCAGCCUGCUUCCACCCCAGUAACUGCUGUUUUAUUAUCUGCAUCUGCACAUUUGAUUUUGUUUUUAGAUUCCAUAUGUAAGUGACAUCAUGCACUAUAUUUUUUUCCUAUCUGAUGCAUUUCACUCAGCAUAGUGUCUUCCAGGUUAAUCCAUGUUGUGCCAAAUGACAGGACCUUCUUUUUAAAGGCUGAAUAAUAUUCCAUUGUAUACAGAUGCCACAGUUUUUUAAAUCCAUUCCUCCAUUGACACUUGGGUGGUUCCAUAUCUUGGCUAUUGUGAAGAAUGCUGCAGUGAAAAUAGGAGUGCAGGUAUUUUUAAAAGGUGGUUAUUUCAUUUUUGGGGGGUAUAGUCACAAAACAGAGAUUGCUGGGUCUUCUGGUAGUUCUGUUUUUAAUUUCUUUAGAAACCUCCAUACUGUUUUCCAUGAUGGCUGCACCAAAUCUCCAUUCCCACCAACAGUGUACAAGGGUUCCCUUUUCUCCACACCCCUAUGACUUUUUGAUAAUAGCCAUCCUAAAGGGUCUAAAAUAAUAUCUCAUAGUGGUUUUGAUUCACAUUUUCCUGAUGAUUAAUGAUGUCAAGCACCUUUUCAUAUACCUGUUGGCCAUUUUUAUAUCUUCUUUGGAGAAAUGUCUAUUCAGGUCCCUUGCCCAUUUUAAAAUUAGGUUAUUUGUUUUUCUAUAAUUGAGUUGUGUGUGUACUUUAUAAAUUUUGGAUAUUAACCCCUUAUCAGAUAUAUGGUUUGCAAAAAUUUUUCCCAGUCCUUAAGUUGCUACUUUGUUUUGUUGAUUGUUUCCUUUGUCGUGCAGAAUCUUUUAAAUUUGAUGUAGCCCCAUUUAUUUAUUUUUGCUUUUGUAGCCUGAGCUUUUGCUGUGAUCUCCAAAAAAUCAUUGCCAGUUGGAUGCGGUGGCUCACACCUAUAAUCCCAGCAGUUUGGGAUGUGAGGCGGGAGGAUCACUUGAGUCCAGAGGUUCGAGACCAGCCUAGGCAACAUAAUGAGACGCUGUCUCUACCAAAAAGAAAAAAGAAAAAGAAAAAAAUCAUUGCCAAGGCCAAUGUCCAGGAGAUUUUCCUCCAUGUUUUCUUCUAGGAGUUUUACAGUUUCAGAUCUUGCAUUUAGGUUUUUUUA